This 348-nucleotide transfer-messenger RNA is filed under the name bovine gut metagenome. It matches the Rfam family "transfer-messenger RNA". Rfam says of the family: Bacterial tmRNA, also known as 10Sa RNA or SsrA, is named for its dual tRNA and mRNA-like properties. The record is from RNAcentral.
GGGGUUGUACUGGUUUCGACGGGGUUCUUGAAGUUUGAAUAGCCAUCCGUGGACUAGGCCCACGUAAAAACUUAGAAAUUUAAAAUUAAACGCUAACAAUAAUUUAGCAGUAGCUGCCUAAUUGCAGCUUGCUGACCGCCGAUUCUCCCGUGAUUGACGGACCCAGCAUCAAACCAGCGGGGCACUCUUUUUACAAAGCUUUGAGUAGAAAGAAGAUAUAUGAAGCUACUAAAUAUUUAAUCGUGUCAAUACGAGUAGAUAUGAGGGAAACUUAAAAUAUUGACUGUGAUGGAAGAAGUUCUUAUGAAUAGGAUUUCGGACAGGGGUUCGAUUCCCCUCAGCUCCACU